AUGGGCCUCAAGCCCGGCUCCCGCGUCCACGUCGCCGUCGAGCCCGACCGCCUCAGCGCCCUUCCGGACGCGCUCCUGCACCACAUCAUGUCGUCCCUCAAGGCGUGGGAGGCGGUGCGCACCUGCAUGCUCGUGCGGCGGUGGCUCCACCUCUGGGCGUCCGCGCCCUGCGUCGACCUCCGCGUGCGCCACUCCUCCGGCCGCGACGCCGACCCGCCGAGGAGUUCCGCCACUUCGUGCAUCGCCUCUUCCUCCUCCGCGACGCGUCGGCGCCCGUGGGCACGCUCUGCCUGCGGUCCGGCGACGAGGACGCGGGCUAUGACGAGGACGACGCCAGCGCGUGGAUCAGGGCCGCCAUCAACCGUAACGCGCGGGUCAUCCAUCUCGCCGGGCAUCGCUCGGAGAUCGCGUCUUUGGACCGCGUGCAGUUCAUAUCCAGCCACCUCAAGGUGCUGA
Molecule: ribosomal RNA, 456 nt
Filed under: Triticum aestivum (bread wheat)
Lineage: Eukaryota; Viridiplantae; Streptophyta; Magnoliopsida; Poales; Poaceae
Description: partial small subunit ribosomal RNA
Source: RNAcentral